CCUGGCCAGUGCCUCCCACCCCUACAAACUCCCCUUGUGUGGUUUCAGUUUGGUUUUUACACUUACAUAGUUCUUUACUCUCAAAGGGAUUUUCUAACCAUUCUCUCACCAUCGGGUGCCACAGGCUUUUAUUUUCAAAGAGUCACACAAAUUUCUAAUUCUUUUUCCCAAACGAACUUCACAAGUAAUUAAUUCCACUUAGCUGGACGCCUGGGAAGGAGGUUCAACAGUCCUCGUCCCAUGACCCGGUGAACUCAUGUCUUCAUUCUCUCCCUUCACCUGUCUCCUCUUUUCCAUGCUGUGCCUUCACUUUUUACCAGGUCUUCUCUUUUGAAAUCUUAAAUGCUUAGACAUUUCUGUAUUUUCAGAGUUUGUGUUCUAGUUAAUUCUUGUCCAACCUUUUUUUUUUUUUUUUUGAGAUGGAGUCUUGCUCUGCCGCCCAGGCUGGAGUGCGGUGUCGAGAUCUCGGCUCACUGCAAGCUCCGCCUCUCAGGUUCACGUCAUCUUCCUGCCUCAGCCUCCCAGGUAGCUGGGACUAUAGGUGCCCGCCACCACACCUGGCUAAUUUUUUGUAUUUUUAGUAGAGACAAGGUUUCACCGUGUUAGCCAGGAUGGUCUCCAUCUCCUGACUUUGUGAUCCACCCGCCUUGGCCUCCCAAAGUGCUGGGAUUACAGGCAUGAGCCACUGUGCCUGGCCCCUUGUCCAACCUUUGAAGACAGUAGGAUUUUCUUUCUGUAGGAAUCAGAAUUUUCCAAGGUGCCAUGUGGGGCAGUUAUGUAAAUGAAGCACCCCCAGAUCCCUACAGCCUCCUUGGAUUUUGAUCCAACACAGAAAAAUUAUCAUUUAUUUAUUUAUUUAUUAUUUAGAGACAGGGUCUUGCUCUGUCACCCAGGCUGGAGUGCAGGGGCACAGUCAUAGCUCAUUGCAGCCCCCAACUCCUGAGCUCAAGUGAUCCUCUUGCCUCAGCAAGUAGCCAGGACUAUAGGCAUGUUCCAACACCAUGCCCAGCUAGUUUUUUGUUUUUUUUUUUUUUAGUUUUGUAGAGGCGAGGUCUCACUAUGUUGCCCAGACUGGUCUCUUACUCCUGGGCUCAAGCCAUCCUCCUGCCUCAGAAAGUCAUCUUUGCCUCAAAUGUACGAUUAAUUUGGGGGUAGGCUUUGCCACCACUAUCUCACUGGGUCCUCCCCAGACCACUGUGGGAUAGGGCUGUCUCUUUCCCCAUCUUUGAAAUGAGGAAACAGGUCUGAAAAUCGAGGCAACUCCCAUCUUCUCCCACCACCCCUGAAGCCCUAGCACAAGGCUGGGCAUCCAGCCAGCCCUCGGGAAGUUUGUUUGGACUGGGAUGACUGAACUAGGUCUUUUUUCUGAGUCCUAAACCCCCAGGGACAUCCCGUUCAUUCGGUCUGCAAAUAUACUUUUUGUAUACCUACUAUGUGCCAGGUGCUGUUUUAGGCCUUAGGGAUAAAGCCGUGAAUAAAACAAAGAUCCUUGUCCUUGUGGACCUUACAUCCCAGCAGCGGAGAAGACAGAUGAGUAAAGUAUAUGGUAUGUUAGGUAAAAGUGUUAAGAAAAAUAAAGCAGGAUGUUGGGCAUGGUGGCUCACGCCUGUAAUCCCAGCAUUUUGGGAGGCUGAGGUGGGUGGAUCACCUGAGGUCAGAAGUUCGAGACCAGCCUGGCCAACAUGGUGAAACCCCAUCUCUACUAAAAAUACAAAAAUUAGCUGGGCGUGGUGGCAGGCGCCUGUAAUCCCAGCUACUCGGGAG
Molecule: long non-coding RNA, 1764 nt
Filed under: Homo sapiens (human)
Lineage: Eukaryota; Metazoa; Chordata; Mammalia; Primates; Hominidae
Description: HSALNT0095130
Source: RNAcentral